AAUAACCAAAUAUAACACUUGGUCUAAGAGUCAAGUUGGUAAUUUUUCUUACAUCUCCCCCUUCUAGAGCCCAGGUAUCGUAUAUGCCCCCAAAAUAAAGAUCCUUGAAUACUAGAAGAAAAACAUCUAUACUUAGAAAAAUUAAGUGAAUACCCAAAAUUGUGGUCAUUUUAUUUCUAUCUUUCUA
Non-coding RNA from Gossypium raimondii (Peruvian cotton), 187 nucleotides. It matches the Rfam family "Antisense RNA which regulates isiA expression". The record is from Rfam. NCBI's taxonomy places the organism in Eukaryota, Viridiplantae, Streptophyta, Magnoliopsida, Malvales, Malvaceae.